GCUUACACAUGCAAGUCGAGCGGUAACAUUUCUAGCUUGCUAGAAGAUGACGAGCGGCGGACGGGUGAGUAACGCGUAGGAAUCUGCCUAGUAGUGGGGGACAACAUGUGGAAACGCAUGCUAAUACCGCAUACGCCCUACGGGGGAAAGGAGGGGAUCUUCGGACCUUUCGCUAUUAGAUGAGCCUGCGUGAGAUUAGCUAGUUGGUGGGGUAAAGGCCUACCAAGGCGACGAUCUCUAGCUGGUCUGAGAGGAUGAUCAGCCACACUGGGACUGAGACACGGCCCAGACUCCUACGGGAGGCAGCAGUGGGGAAUAUUGGACAAUGGGCGCAAGCCUGAUCCAGCCAUGCCGCGUGUGUGAAGAAGGCCUUAGGGUUGUAAAGCACUUUCAGGAGUGAGGAAGGGCGUAUAGUUAAUACCUGUAUGUUUUGACGUUAACUCCAGAAGAAGCACCGGCUAACUCUGUGCCAGCAGCCGCGGUAAUACAGAGGGUGCGAGCGUUAAUCGGAAU
RNAcentral lists this ribosomal RNA (513 nucleotides) under uncultured bacterium. RNAcentral's name for it is "bacterial SSU rRNA". It matches the Rfam family "Bacterial small subunit ribosomal RNA", at positions 46 to 551 of the family's 1533-position model. The record is from RNAcentral.